Molecule: unclassified non-coding RNA, 369 nt
Filed under: soil metagenome
Description: partial contains 5.8S ribosomal RNA, internal transcribed spacer 2, and large subunit ribosomal RNA
Rfam family: 5.8S ribosomal RNA (bases 1-120)
Source: RNAcentral
GAUGAAGAACGCAGCGAAAUGCGAUAAGUAAUGUGAAUUGCAGAAUUCAGUGAAUCAUCGAAUGUUUGAACGCACAUUGCGCCCGCCAGUAUUCUGGCGGGCAUGCCUGUUCGAGCGUCAUUUCAACCCUCAAGCCCUGCUUGGUGUUGGGGAUCGGCGUUGCCUCCUCCGUCGUUCGCGGCGGGGUGAGGUCGCCGCCCCCGAAAUGAAUUGGCGGUCUCGUCGCAGCUUUCCUUUGCGUAGUAACAUACCACCUCGCACCCAGGAGCGCGGCGCGGCCACUGCCGUAAAACGCCCAACUUUUUCAAGAGUUGACCUCGAAUCAGGUAGGAAUACCCGCUGAACUUAAGCAUAUCAAUAAGCGGAGGA